RNAcentral lists this ribosomal RNA (492 nucleotides) under uncultured bacterium. RNAcentral describes it as "bacterial SSU rRNA". It matches the Rfam family "Bacterial small subunit ribosomal RNA", at positions 29 to 528 of the family's 1533-position model. The record is from RNAcentral.
AACGAACGCUGGCGGCGCGCCUAAUACAUGCAAGUCGAGCGAGAAGGUGUAGCAAUACACUUGUAAAGCGGCGAACGGGUGAGGAAUACAUGGGUAAUCUACCAUCGAGUGGGGAAUAACCAACCGAAAGGUUGGCUAAUACCGCGUACGCCUCCGAAUCUUCGGGUUCGGAGGGAAAGCUGCACUGUGAGUGUAGCGCUCUUUGAUGAGCUCAUGUCCUAUCAGCUUGUUGGUAGGGUAACGGCCUACCAAGGCUUUGACGGGUAGCUGGUCUGAGAGGACGAUCAGCCACACUGGCACUGCGACACGGGCCAGACUCCUACGGGAGGCAGCAGUAAGGAAUAUUGCGCAAUGGGCGAAAGCCUGACGCAGCGACGCCGCGUGGGGAUGAAGGUCUUCGGGUUGUAAAGCCCUUUUGCCGGGGACGAUGAUGACGGUACCCGGCGAAUAAGCACCGGCUAACUCCGUGCCAGCAGCCGCGGUAAUGCACGA